Eriocheir sinensis (Chinese mitten crab) is the source of this 882-nucleotide long non-coding RNA. RefSeq lists it as uncharacterized. Lineage: Eukaryota; Metazoa; Arthropoda; Malacostraca; Decapoda; Varunidae. The record is from RefSeq and is a predicted model, not a curated record. The transcript is spliced from 3 exons.
CACAAAAGAACAAGGAGCGUGGUCGAGAGGGGCAUCGGUCAGCUCAAACGCCGAUUUCACGUCCUGCACGGAGAAAUCAGGCUCGACCCCAUAAAAGCUUGCAAAGUCAUUAUGGCGUGUGGCAUACUCCACAACAUUUGCAAGCUACGUAAUAUCGAGCUUGACGAAGAGCAGGAUGACAUUCGUGAUGAGCCUGCUUGUGAUGAGGGGUUCCAGCCAGAGAAUGGCAGACUUGCUGCUGUCCAUGAAAGGGCUCUCUUCAGAGAAAACAUUGCUCGCCAACAUUUUAGGGUUGGGGCAUAAACAGUUGUAAUGACCCCCCUUCAACAGCUUUAAAGGGACAUAGUCUUCGGUCAAUUAAUCAAUGGGGACUUACGCUGGGGGGCGCGUCGCCUUGCCCAUCCUACGACGAUAAGCCCAGGAAUCCCUCCAGGCAAGGCAUUGAUGGACUGUGCAGACAAUAUAAGUUGAAUCAGUCUUACGUAGUAGUCACCGGUUUGACAGUCAUUCCUAAAUCCAAUCUGUUGAUCCAUUUAUUUGGUAGUUUGCCACCAAUGCCCCCUCCAUCAAUCCUCAUGCACUUUAAGAAAUAAUCAUUAUCCAUUCUGUCGAAAUUAUUUCAGAGUACAAUAUUUCAUCAACUUUACUUUGGCAUUACACACAUAGCAAAAUUCGGAUACAUUGCUUUCUCCAAUCCAUUUACUUCCAGCGCACAUAUUGUGAGAGCAUUUAGGAGAUAACUGAUAAUUUAACUCUUAGUGAUCAAAAAUCUCUUUUAGAAGUUAAAUGCUAAUUCAGACAUUCUAAUGAACAGGUUCAUCAAAUUUGUAAUGAAUUUUUGUAUUAAGUUGUUUCUGCAUGGGAUCCUUAUGAAAGGAUGUA